UACAGAGGUGCCAAGCGUUGUUCGGAUUUAUUGGGCGUAAAGGGUGCGUAGGCGGUGAUGCAAGUCGGGUGUGAAAUACUGGAGCCUAACUCCAGAACGGCAUUCGAAACUGCAUCGCUAGAGAACUGGAGAGGUGAGUGGAAUUCUCGGUGUAGCAGUGAAAUGCGUAGAUAUCGAGAGGAACACCAGAGGCGAAAGCGACUCACUGGACAGAUUCUGACGCUGAGGCACGAAAGCUAGGGGAGCAAACGGG
RNAcentral lists this ribosomal RNA (253 nucleotides) under uncultured bacterium. RNAcentral's name for it is "partial 16S ribosomal RNA". It matches the Rfam family "Bacterial small subunit ribosomal RNA", at positions 524 to 776 of the family's 1533-position model. The record is from RNAcentral.